AACAGGAUUAGAUACCCUGGUAGUCCACGCCGUAAACGAUGGAUACUCGCUGUGGGCGAUACACAGUCCGCGGCUUAGCGAAAGCGUUAAGUAUCCCACCUGGGGAGUACGCCGGCAACGGUGAAACUCAAAGGAAUUGACGGGGGCCCGCACAAGUGGUGGAGCAUGUGGUUUAAUUCGAUGAUACGCGAGGAACCUUACCGAGGCUAGAAUGCGCGUGACCGGCCCAGAGAUGGGCCUUUCCUUCGGGACACAAAGCAAGGUGCUGCAUGGCCGUCGUCAGCUCGUGCCGUGAGGUGUUGGGUUAAGUCCCGCAACGAGCGCAACCCCUAUGUUUAGUUGCCAGCGGAUUAUGCCGGGGACUCUAGACAGACUGCCUGCGCAAGCAGCGAGGAAGGCGGGGACGACGUCAGGUCAUCAUGGCCCUUACGCCUCGGGCUACACACGUGCUACAAUGGACGGUACAGAGGGUCGCCACGCAGCGAUGCGGAGCCAAUCUCAAAAAGCCGUUCUCAGUUCGGAUCGGAGUCUGCAACUCGACUCCGUGAAGCUGGAAUCACUAGUAAUCGCGUAUCAGCAACGACGCGGUGAAUACGUUCCCGGGCCUUGUACACACCGCCCGUCAAGCCAUGGAAGUCUGGUAGACCUGAAGCUGGUGCCCCGCAACGGAGCCAGUUAGGGUAGAACAGGUAACUGGGGCUAAGUCGUAACAAGGUAACC
Molecule: ribosomal RNA, 720 nt
Filed under: uncultured bacterium
Lineage: Bacteria
Description: bacterial SSU rRNA
Rfam family: Bacterial small subunit ribosomal RNA
Source: RNAcentral